AGGACGAACGCUGGCGGCGUGCUUAACACAUGCAAGUCGAGCGGUAAGGCCCUUUCGGGGUACACGAGCGGCGAACGGGUGAGUAACACGUGGGUGACCUGCCCUUAGCUCUGGGAUAAGCCUGGGAAACUGGGUCUAAUACCGGAUAUGACCUCGCGAUGCAUGUCGUGGGAUGGAAAGCCUUGUGCGGCUAGGGAUGGGCCCGCGGCCUAUCAGCUUGUUGGUGGGGUGAUGGCCUACCAAGGCGACG
RNAcentral lists this ribosomal RNA (250 nucleotides) under uncultured bacterium. RNAcentral describes it as "partial small subunit ribosomal RNA". It matches the Rfam family "Bacterial small subunit ribosomal RNA", at positions 26 to 278 of the family's 1533-position model. The record is from RNAcentral.